Molecule: transfer RNA, 72 nt
Filed under: Marmota monax (woodchuck)
Lineage: Eukaryota; Metazoa; Chordata; Mammalia; Rodentia; Sciuridae
Also listed under: 1 other name
Rfam family: tRNA
About the family: Transfer RNA (tRNA) molecules are approximately 80 nucleotides in length.
Source: Rfam by way of RNAcentral
UGUGUUGUAGCUCAGUGGCAGAGCGCUCGCCUGGCAUGUGUGAGGCACUGGGUUCAAUCCUCAGCACCACAU